GGUGGAUUUCCUCUUUGCGGAUGUGGAGAAAGUUUGCGAGACGUUUUGAGGAGACGAUUUCGAGGGAGCAUAUUUUGCGGAGGUUACGCCAGUGGUCACCGUAAGGUGUGGUCGCAAUGGUUGUGUAGUUGUAAGCGAUGUAUUUGGAAGUCAGGAAACGAGGGCGGUUCGAUACAACUACGUCGUUAUGACCCGUGAAGCAUUCUCUUGCGAGUGCGGAGGAAGAGAUGACAACCGCACGGCGGGUACCUAGUCGGAGGUAGAAGAUUGGGCCGUGUGUUUUGGCGAGUCCAUGGAAG
RNAcentral lists this long non-coding RNA (299 nucleotides) under Brassica napus (rape). Its description in RNAcentral is "long non-coding RNA (BNAP_LNC014361)". The record is from RNAcentral. Lineage: Eukaryota; Viridiplantae; Streptophyta; Magnoliopsida; Brassicales; Brassicaceae.